Molecule: ribosomal RNA, 444 nt
Filed under: uncultured bacterium
Lineage: Bacteria
Description: bacterial SSU rRNA
Rfam family: Bacterial small subunit ribosomal RNA
Source: RNAcentral
CCUANGGGUGGCUGCAGUCGAGAAUCUUCCGCAAUGGACGAAAGUCUGACGGAGCGACGCCGCGUGAUUGAUGAAGCUCUUCGGAGUGUAAAGAUCUUUUAUGAGGGAAGAAGUUUAUUGACGGUACCUCAGGAAUAAGGGGCUCCUAAUCUCGUGCCAGCAGGAGCGGUAAUACGAGAGCCCCGAGCGUUAUCCGGAAUUAUUGGGCGUAAAGGGUGCGUAGGUGGUCAUGUUAGUCGUUUGUCAAAUCCUUGGGCUUAACCUAAGAACCGCGAACGAAACGGCAUGACUUGAGAGUGUGAGGGGUAUAGGGAACUAAUAGUGUAGGGGUGAAAUCCGUUGAUAUUAUUGGGAACACCAAAAGCGAAGGCACUAUAUUGGCACAUAUCUGACACUCAAGCACGAAAGCGUGGGUAGCGAAUGGGAUUAGAUACCCUUNUANUC